RNAcentral lists this small RNA (752 nucleotides) under Drosophila virilis. Its description in RNAcentral is "GJ25845". The record is from RNAcentral. Lineage: Eukaryota; Metazoa; Arthropoda; Insecta; Diptera; Drosophilidae.
UUGAUAGUGCUGAGCUGCCUUAAAAGUACAUUUGAAGAAAUGACUUGACUUGCUCGUCGCGUAUCUCGAAAACUUGGCGCCAUUAAAUUUCUGGAAACUGCGAGAGGAUGUAUUUCUUAAUUAAGUGCGAGCAAUAUUAUGUAUUGCAUAAAAAAAAAUUAAAAUAGUGGAAGGAAGUAAAAUGUGCAUUGCAAAAUUUAGCAAAGGCAGUUUCGAAGCGGAGAUUAUUGAUUCGCGAGAAGAUCGUGAAAUACUGGACCAGCAAUGUCAAUAACUUAAUAAGGACUUACUAGAAGCAGAUACUAAGUUAAAUGAAAGUGAAGCAACAACGAACGAUGAUAAAUCCGAGGAGCCAUUAGCAGCUUAUAAGUCAAAUACUGACACAACAAAUAAAAGCAACCUGGGACAAUUUGAAGCUUUCGGUAUGUGUGCAAUUAUUAAAACUAAGCCAGGACUAAAUAAAAAAUCAUUUGCAUUACACUUCUGACAGAGUUAUGUUUUGUAAUGUAUUUAUUAUUAUAUGUUAAGUUUUAAAUAUGCAUAAUUGUGAGUACCACAGUUUUAAGGCCAGAGUCGGAAAAUAUCAAAAGAUUUAUAGCCUUAUUAGUGUUGAAAACAAUUUAAUUAUCAUUUGUAUUAUGAGUUAAUCACAUAUGCAAAAUCAGAUUAAUUUAUUAUAAAAAGCUACACAAAAGACACAAUCGGUCAUUACUUUUCUAGGAAUAGUGUAUUCUCUUGUACGCUAUAUGCCU